CCAGGAAGAGGACUCUGGUAUUGCGCGUUUAGAGGUGAAAUUCCGACAUCUUCGCAGGACGAACGGAGGCGUAGGCUGUCAUUGCCCAUCACAUCUCUAUUGAUCAGGAACGAAAGUCAGGGGAUCGAAGAUGAUUAGAUACCGUCGUAGUCCUGACCGUAAACGAUACUAACUCGAGUUUGUAUGUAACAGUAUUUUAUAAAAUUGAUACAGAAUCCAAGGGAAACCGUUAAGUCUUUGGGUUCUGGGGGGAGUAUAGUCGCAAGGCCGAAACUUAAAGGAAUUGACGGAAAGACACCACCAGGAGUGGAGUUUGCGGCUUAAUUCGACUCAACGCGGGAAAACUCACUAGGAUAGGACAGAAUGAGGAUUGACAGGUUGAAUAUGGUCCUUUCUUGAUUUUUUGGAAGGUGGUGCAUGGCCGUUCUUAGUUCGUGGAGUGAUCUGUCUACUUAAUUGUGUUAACGAACGAGACCUUAACCUGUUAACUAGGCACUAGUUGAACUUUUGUUCAUGGGUUUCUAACGAAAUCUAGGCUAUUCGGGUUACCGAGCUUCUUAAAGGGACAAUACUGUGUAUUUUAUAUUUUAGCGUAGGGAAGUUUAAGGCAAUAACAGGU
RNAcentral lists this ribosomal RNA (619 nucleotides) under Chlorella vulgaris. RNAcentral describes it as "SSU rRNA". It matches the Rfam family "Eukaryotic small subunit ribosomal RNA", at positions 878 to 1461 of the family's 1831-position model. Lineage: Eukaryota; Viridiplantae; Chlorophyta; Trebouxiophyceae; Chlorellales; Chlorellaceae. The record is from RNAcentral.